ACGUCUAUUGAAAGGAGAGACGGUUUGCAGUCUUGACAAGGAUGGAACACGUAAAUUGGUUAAGGCACAAAUUAUCCAACAUCUUUAU
Molecule: small nuclear RNA, 88 nt
Organism: Ostrinia nubilalis (European corn borer)
Lineage: Eukaryota; Metazoa; Arthropoda; Insecta; Lepidoptera; Crambidae
Source: RefSeq, a predicted model, not a curated record